RNAcentral lists this long non-coding RNA (204 nucleotides) under Mytilus galloprovincialis (Mediterranean mussel). The record is from RNAcentral. Lineage: Eukaryota; Metazoa; Mollusca; Bivalvia; Mytilida; Mytilidae.
UUUGGCCUCGAGUAUCAUAUGUACAGGAGAGACAUUGAUUGUUGAAAUGCGCAUCUGGUGCAAAAAAAAACAUAGUACCGUUUAUGGUCUUUUUUUAUUGAUUAAAUUUUUCCCUGUGUUUUUUCUUCAACUGUUCACCUAGUUCUUUUUUUGGGGUAGUUUGUUUUUUUAGGCGUACGUAGAACUUUGUCGAACCAAUACGUA